This 998-nucleotide long non-coding RNA is filed under the name Brachypodium distachyon (stiff brome). Its description in RNAcentral is "long non-coding RNA (BDIS_LNC004386)". Lineage: Eukaryota; Viridiplantae; Streptophyta; Magnoliopsida; Poales; Poaceae. The record is from RNAcentral.
AAUAGAUUAAUUCAAAAUAUUUAUUUCUCUGUCCCAUUGGACAGAGGACAAUAAAACAAAAUUUUGGGCACUGGUUUCAUUCAAAAAGGACUUCUAGAUAAUUAGUUAUGAUUUAAAAGGCAUAAAACCCUAAUCUGUAAUUUGAAUGUGAUUCAAAUAUUCAAAUUUGAAAUUGGACAGUGCAAAAAGAUUCUAAAUUUCCUAAGGAUUCCAAAAAGGUGUGGAUCACUAAAUUUGGCCAAACAGAUUUAAAGUUAUGAUCAUUUGAAGUUACAGGGGCCUAUCUGCAAAAGUGCCUUUUAUUAAUUCCGGGGGAUUAAAAUUACAUUUUUAUUUUAUAAAACCGGGUGCCACAUGGCGCAUUAUUAUUGGACGGUACCGGUUCGGUUUAUAAAUAAAUCCGAGCCGUUAGAUCUAACUUAUAAAGAUCGGACGCUCCACAGUGCGUACCGGUUCGUUUUAUAAGUGAUCUAAUCCUAGCCAUCGAUCUAGAUCGGAUGGACGAGGGGAGUUCUGCGUGCGGUCGGACGGGGCCGGUUCGGCCCAAAGUGGCCGGGCCGGUCCGGUUUACCCCUUUUUUUUUCUUUUCACCCUUUUCUUUUUCUGUUUUUCUUAUUCCUUUGAUAUCUUUUGAGUUUCAACUCCAAAUUGGUCCAAAUAAAUUCCAGAAAAUUUGUAAAAUCAUGUGUACCAAGAUACAACUUUUGGAAGUAGUUUCCCCUCAAAAUAAAAUAUAUAAAAAUACAUUUUCCCUAUAAAUGCCUUUAGGGCUAUAUAUCCAUUUAAAUAAAAUACUUUUUCAACUCCAAAUAAUUAUCCAAAAAUUAUGGGACAGCUUAUAUACGCAAUAAACCCCUUUUAUACUUAAACCUUAAUGGUUUGAAGAUCCAAAGCUCAAAUGGGUGUAAACCCUAGGGUUUAAAAUGAAACAAAAAUCUUUCCAAAGCCCUUUUGAGAUUCAAAUUUGAAGUCAAAUAUGCAAUUGUGGCAUGAUGCUU